RNAcentral lists this long non-coding RNA (1677 nucleotides) under Calidris pygmaea (Spoon-billed sandpiper). RNAcentral's name for it is "lncRNA (ENSCPGG00000018716.1)". The record is from RNAcentral. Lineage: Eukaryota; Metazoa; Chordata; Aves; Charadriiformes; Scolopacidae.
CCAAUUCCGCUGGAUGGGGAGUUGGGGAGCGUGCGGCUGAGGGUCUGGGAUGCAGGGAAGGAGGGGGAAAGGGAGAUGUGUGAUGGAGAAGGGGGAUGUUCCAGUUUGUGAUUUUGGGGGUUCUGCCUGUGCAGCCACAGGAGCUGCCCUGAAUCCUCUCUCUGUCCCCAUCCAGGUCUCCCGGGGGUGCUCCUGAGCCUCUCCUGCCCCAGGGGAUGCCCCAGUUCACCUUCGCUUGCUUCUGCGGGCUCCAUGGCUUCUGCAAGAUGAAGAGGAAGAAAGAAGAGUCCAGCGCCGAGCAGGAGACGGCAGUGUGAGGAGCAGAGUCGUGUGUGUGCCCCGCUGAGCUGUGCCUCGGGACCCCCCGUCCCCUUCCCCUCGGUAUGCUGGGACUGCCCGGGGUGGGGGGGACGUUUACUGCCUCCUUUCUUCUCACCUCUCCAAGGACCAGCUCCCCGCUGGGCAUCACCCUCUGCCAGUGCUCUCUUGGGGUGUCUCAGGGGGCCGGGAUGAUGUGCCUGGGAUGGGGCAGGGGAGCCUGGGGCUGAGCAAUGGUUUUGCUCAUCGAUAGCAGCAGCGGGAUGGGGAGAGUGUGGGGGGAGCUGGUUAAUCUGCUCAAACACACUUGUCCUGCAGCUUCUCCCAUUCUCUCUCCCCUCCCUCUUCCCAGAUACUUGCAUGGCUGGGGGAGAGCCCGAGCAUGGGAAUGACCUUGCCGAGAUGAUGUAGAAGCAGGUGCUGUGGAUGUUAUCAAGGUGCUGCACCAAUUCUACCCCCUGACACCCAGCCCGGCCAGGCACGGAGCCCUGGGGACCUGAGCAGCCACUGUCGGAGGGACCCUGGGUCCCAGCCGGGUAGAGGUUUCCCUCCUGAGCGAGCCGACCUGCCCUUGCUCCAACAAGUCUCAACAGACAGACCUGGAGAGGUUUCCAAAAGCUGGGGCCAGCCCUUGUCCCUCCUGGAGUCGUGGUGCCGGAGAGGCUGGUCCCUGGCUGCUAUCACCUGAAAAUCACCGCCUUUUCUCCCUUGCGAGGGCAGGAUUUUUUCCCAGCUGCUCGACGUUCCCGUGCUGACCCGCUGCCCUCCUGGGGGAUUGCGCAGAGAAAUACCGAGGGCAGCCUGAUAAAAUCUGCAGGGUCACGGUCCGGCUCCAUCCUCCCAGCCCGUCCCUGCUCGCCUCUGCCUUCCAAAAACAACCGGUCUUUGUGGCUGCCCCAAAACACGGUGUUUUCCAGAAGGUUGCUGGGAGGACGGAGCACAGGCAGUCACAGGCAGCUCCAGGUGGGCACGGGGAAGCUCACGCUGCUUUGGGAAAAUGCUGACCUUGUUCUAUUCCUAUUUUUGCACAUCAGCACAGCCUCCCGAAUUCAGGGUUUGCAGCCCCGGUGCUGUCCUUGGCGAGGACCUUUGGAGUUAUCUUUGGGCCAAAAAAAAAAAAAAAAAAAAGAAGGAAGUCAGUGAAACACGAAGCGUAUUUCUUGAAUGUAACUUUAUUUUUGCACAGUCUCCCCUGUACCGUGUGGUGACCCUGCGAGUGAUGCACUCGUGGACUUCAACCACCGGGGAUUAACCACUGCCCUGGAGUUUAUUCCAAGUGUAAAGAUAUGGGUGAAACUCAACCUUUGCUUUAUGCUGGUAUAAAUCCAGAGAGACAGUCUGUGUACUGAGGUGUCUACA